This 501-nucleotide ribosomal RNA is filed under the name uncultured archaeon. Its description in RNAcentral is "bacterial SSU rRNA". It matches the Rfam family "Archaeal small subunit ribosomal RNA", at positions 168 to 671 of the family's 1478-position model. The record is from RNAcentral.
CGCUGGAAUGCAUCGAGAUUUAAAGCUCCGGCGCCUAAGGAUGGGUCUGCGGCCUAUCAGGUAGUAGUGGGUGUAGCGUACCUACUAGCCUACGACGGGUACGGGUUGUGAGAGCAAGAGCCCGGAGAUGGAUUCUGAGACACGAAUCCAGGCCCUACGGGGUGCAGCAGGCGCGAAAACUUUACAAUGCUGGCAACAGCAAUAAGGGAACCUCGAGUGCCAGGUUACAAAUCUGGCUGUCGAGAUGCCUAAAAGCAUUUCAUAGCAAGGGCCGGGCAAGACCGGUGCCAGCCGCCGCGGUAACACCGGCGGCUCGAGUGGUAACCGUUAUUAUUGGGUCUAAAGGGUCUGUAGCCGGCCGGAUAAGUCUCUUGAGAAAUCUGGCAGCUUAACUGUCAGGCUUUCAGGAGAUACUGUCUGGCUCGAGGCCGGGAGAGGUGAGAGGUACUUCAGGGGUAGGGGUGAAAUCUUGUAAUCCUUGAAGGACCACCAGUGGCGAAG